RNAcentral lists this transfer RNA (64 nucleotides) under Dipodomys ordii (Ord's kangaroo rat). It matches the Rfam family "tRNA". Rfam says of the family: Transfer RNA (tRNA) molecules are approximately 80 nucleotides in length. The record is from Rfam by way of RNAcentral. Lineage: Eukaryota; Metazoa; Chordata; Mammalia; Rodentia; Heteromyidae.
GGUGGCUCAGUGGUAGAGUGCUUGCCUUGCACGCAUGAGGCCCUGGGUUCAAUUCCUUGCACCA